UACAGAGGUCUCAAGCGUUGUUCGGAUUCAUUGGGCGUAAAGGGUGCGUAGGCGGCGCGGUAAGUCGGGUGUGAAAUCUCGGAGCUUAACUCCGAAACUGCAUUCGAUACUGCCGUGCUUGAGGACUGGAGAGGAGACUGGAAUUUACGGUGUAGCGGUGAAAUGCGUAGAUAUCGUAAGGAAGACCAGUGGCGAAGGCGGGUCUCUGGACAGUUCCUGACGCUGAGGCGCGAAAGCCAGGGGAGCAAACGGG
Molecule: ribosomal RNA, 253 nt
Filed under: uncultured bacterium
Lineage: Bacteria
Description: partial 16S ribosomal RNA
Rfam family: Bacterial small subunit ribosomal RNA
Source: RNAcentral